Molecule: long non-coding RNA, 1648 nt
Organism: Trichoplusia ni (cabbage looper)
Lineage: Eukaryota; Metazoa; Arthropoda; Insecta; Lepidoptera; Noctuidae
Exons: 2
Source: RefSeq, a predicted model, not a curated record
AUGGGGUCGGUUGACACUUCUGAUAUGAUGACUAGCUCAUUGGGCUGUAUAAGAAAAUCAAAAAAAUGGCAUAAAAAGCUUGGGUUUCACAUAUUUGACAUGUUUUUACUUAAUGCAUUCUAUUUGAUUAAAGUGAUUAAAAAUAAACAAAAUUAUAGUUUAGCUGAUUUCCAAUUAAACGUUAUCAGACAAAUAAUAGAAAAAUACAAACAAUGUUCUUUAACUCAACAGUCAACUUCGCGCGGCGUCCUUGACCCUAACCGUUUUUUACAUAAUAGUGCCUUAGAGCAUUUUCCUGUUAGAAUACUAACCGGCAAAAGUCAGCGAUGCAAAAUGUGCGCAGCAAAAAGAAAACGGUCUGAGACUCGUUUUAUGUGCCAAAAAUGCAAAGUUUAUCUCUGCAUAGAUCCAUGUGCUGUUGAGUACCACAAUUCUACAAAACAAUCGGUAUCGUAAUCCCACAUCACUAUUUUUGCGUUUAGUCUAUUAUGUCUAUGGUCAGCUAGACGUUGUCGAUACUCGACAAUAUCCAUUAUUCCGUAUUCGACAGUGACGACUGUUAGUGGCACGACGUUUGUAAAAUCAAGUGAACAUUUUACAAUUUUUUAAUAUCAAGAUGGGGUCCAAAAGGAAGUUUGAAGAGAGCCAGUCAAUUUUGGCUCCCUUUGACUAUAGCCAAGAUAAAGUAGACAUAGACUGUAGCCAAGAUGUUAACCUUCCAUCAACGCUGACCAACGACGAGUAUAUGGUUUAUUUAAAUGAGGGUCAGUCGCAUUUAAGAAGUUCUGAUAGUACGCCAGAUUUAUAUAGAUCUACGGCGACACAAACUUUAGUCAAAACAACAAAUGCAAGUACACAAUACGAGCAAAUUGAUAAUCCAAUCAAAGAAAGUGCCAAAAUUUUAGUGGACAGUUAUUUUGUUGGCGAUGAAACUCGUAAAAAUAAGUUUAUCGAAUGUUACACAAAUGUGGUCUCGUCAAUAAUUCGCCUCGUCGAUAGCGAGCAUAAAUAAUUUUUCGACGGAUCAUACUAUUAUUGAAAAAUCUUACCUCUGAUUGUUAGACUGAUUUUAGUAAUAAGAAAUUAUAUCUGUGAUUAUUUGACUGAUUUUAUUGAAAUUAGUGUUAUACAAAUUUUAUUGUGAUUGUGAUAUAUCGUUACAUCUAAGUCAAUAGGUAAACUGAUAAUGACAUUGUCAAGUAAAAUUUUUAUUUUUAUGUUUGUUGUUAAUUAGUGUGAUACAAAUUAUUGUGAUUGUGAUAAAUAUCGUUACAGAUAGUUCAAUUCAUCUGUGCACGAAGCGCCAUGUGUGCGUGCGCUUAUUUAUACAGCUUUCAUUUGUGUGGCAGCGUAAGCGGCAGUCGUCGUCCGAGCAAAACGUGUCCUUACCACUUUACCCACACAUAGCGCCGCGCGCACAGAUGAGUUGAAUUAUCUACAGGGUUAUUGGUAAAUCAUUAACAACCUCUUAAGAGGUUGUACUCAUCAUUAUGAACAACUUUUACUAUGGGACCAAACCUAAAAUCGUGAAAAAAAAAUCAGCUGUUCCCUACAUUUAUGUUCGUAUAACUCGCCAAACUCUUCUCUGGACUGAUUUUAUUGUGAAUAGUUUAAGUAAUAAUUAAUAAAUCGUUCAAAUUUUUAAACA